AAUCCUCACUAUGACAUACCCGAUACAUAAGAAAAGAGACCCACACUCUCCAAAGAAUCUUAAUCUCUCCUCCACAUGAGAACUCUUCAAAUAUUUGUGGAGAGCUGCUCUUCUCUCCUCUCCAUGCUAAGUAUCUCCAGUUCCUUCUACUGAUCUUCAUAUGACAUAGAGUCAAGGCCCUUCAGACUAUCCUUGCUGACAAUCUCUGGAUACUCUCCAAUUUAUCAGCGUCCUUAAACCAUGGUAUCCAGGACCAAGCACAAUACUACAAAUAAGGUUCGAUGUGGGUAAAGAGUGACUACCACACCUUUUUUUCCAGAUAGUCCAAGAUUGAAUUUGGUUUUUUGGCUGCACAUCAUGCAAUUGAAGCAUAUUAAAAGCUUGCACUCCACUAAAA
Monodelphis domestica (gray short-tailed opossum) is the source of this 397-nucleotide long non-coding RNA. RefSeq lists it as uncharacterized. Lineage: Eukaryota; Metazoa; Chordata; Mammalia; Didelphimorphia; Didelphidae. The record is from RefSeq and is a predicted model, not a curated record.